Molecule: ribosomal RNA, 568 nt
Filed under: fungal sp. YX-44
Lineage: Eukaryota; Fungi
Description: eukaryotic LSU rRNA
Rfam family: 5.8S ribosomal RNA (bases 196-349)
Source: RNAcentral
UCCGUAGGUGAACCUGCGGAGGGAUCAUUACACAAAUAUGAAGGCGGGCUGGAACCUCUCGGGGUUACAGCCUUGCUGAAUUAUUCACCCUUGUCUUUUGCGUACUUCUUGUUUCCUUGGUGGGUUCGCCCACCACUAGGACAAACAUAAACCUUUUGUAAUUGCAAUCAGCGUCGGUAACAAAUUAAUAAUUACAACUUUCAACAACGGAUCUCUUGGUUCUGGCAUCGAUGAAGAACGCAGCGAAAUGCGAUAAGUAGUGUGAAUUGCAGAAUUCAGUGAAUCAUCGAAUCUUUGAACGCACAUUGCGCCCUUUGGUAUUCCAAAGGGCAUGCCUGUUCGAGCGUCAUUUGUACCCUCAAGCUUUGCUUGGUGUUGGGCGUCUUGUCUCUAGCUUUGCUGGAGACUCGCCUUAAAGUAAUUGGCAGCCGGCCUACUGGUUUCGGAGCGCAGCACAAGUCGCACUCUCUAUCAGCAAAGGUCUAGCAUCCAUUAAGCCUUUUUUUCAACUUUUGACCUCGGAUCAGGUACGGAUACCCGCUGAACUUAAGCAUAUCAAUUAAGGGCA